GCCGCUGUAGCUCAGUGGUAGAGCAACGCAUUCGUAAUGCGUGGGUCGUCAGUUCAAAUCUGACCAGCGGCU
Molecule: transfer RNA, 72 nt
Filed under: Akkermansia muciniphila
Lineage: Bacteria; Pseudomonadati; Verrucomicrobiota; Verrucomicrobiia; Verrucomicrobiales; Akkermansiaceae
Also listed under: 4 other names
Description: tRNA-Thr
Rfam family: tRNA
About the family: Transfer RNA (tRNA) molecules are approximately 80 nucleotides in length. Their secondary structure includes four short double-helical elements and three loops (D, anti-codon, and T loops).
Source: RNAcentral